CCUACGGGUGGCAGCAGUGAGGAAUAUUGGUCAAUGGGCGCGAGCCUGAACCAGCCAAGUAGCGUGAAGGAUGACUGCCCUACGGGUUGUAAACUUCUUCUAUAAGGGAAUAAAGUGAGGCACGUGUGCCAUUUUGUAUGUACUUUAUGAAUAAGGAUCGGCUAACUCCGUGCCAGCAGCCGCGGUAAUACGGAGGAUCCGAGCGUUAACCGGAUUUAUUGGGCUUAAAGGGAGCGUAGAUGGGUUGUUAAGUUAGUUGUGAAAGUUUGCGGCUCAACCGUAAAAUUGCAAUUGAUACUGGCAGCCUUGAGUACAGUAGAGGUAGGCGGAAUUCGUGGUGUAGCGGUGAAAUGCGUAGAUAUCACGAAGAACUCCGAUGGCGAAGGCAGCCUACUAGACUGCCACUGACAUUGAGGCUCGAAAGUGUGGGUAUCAAACAGGAUUAGAUACCCCAGUAGUC
RNAcentral lists this ribosomal RNA (460 nucleotides) under uncultured bacterium. Its description in RNAcentral is "partial 16S ribosomal RNA". It matches the Rfam family "Bacterial small subunit ribosomal RNA", at positions 338 to 795 of the family's 1533-position model. The record is from RNAcentral.